AGGUGUAACAGAAAGAGAGAGGAAAAAGAUCAAUUAAAUCCAAACAGACUAAAACUCAAACACUGGACAGGAAGUCGAGACCAGGACUGCAUGAGUAAACUGGAAGCACUGUGUGUCUGUUGUGUGUGCGUGUUAAUUAGUGCAGGAUUAGGCUGAGCUGGAGGAAAGUUGCAGCCUGCAGCAUUUCACACUGAGAUAUGCAGAGAUCCUCUCAAGUGCCCGACUAAAACCCGCACUGAUGGUAACUCAGUGCCACACUCCCUGUGAAAGUCAAGACCAGCCCAGAGCUCUCUGCAGGACUGCACACUGACAGCGAUCCACAGCUGUUAAAUGAGGAGGCUCACUGCUUCAUCACUUUUUGUUCAAGGAGAACAUUUAGAAGAAGAUCCGUGCAGUAGGUGACAGAUGGAUGCAUCAUGGCCAACUUGGGGUUCAGUGUUUUGCCCAGGGAUACAAGGGAUCAAAUUUCUGACCUCCCACUCAGUAGAUGGUAGAUGACCCUGUGCAGCUCCUGAACCACAGCCACAACCUGGCAGCACAUGUAUGAGAGAAAACGAGGUACAGAAUAAUAGGACUCCUGUAAAGGUUGUGUUGAGAGCACACAACUUGGAAAGUAUUUCCUUCUGCCUGAAAAGCAGUGCUUGGUACUUGUGUGUCAUGACCUCAAUUUCUAGUCUCUGAGAAAUGUGAAACUGCAUGUCCAUGUUUUUUCAAAUAAAUAAAAAGGUUCAUAUUUGCAGAAGGACAUUUUGUUCCAGAUAGUACCAAAAUCAAAUAUAACUGCUAAUCAACUGUUUGGCUUAAUAAUUGUAAUAAAUGUCACUUAAAUAGACAUUGCAAUGCUGCUGAGUUGUUUUAAUGAACAUUUUGCGAUCUAGUGAGCAGUUUUAGUAAAAACUACUGUGUAUUUUUCUUAGUAAUGAAGCAGCAUGCUCCUCAGUGAAGCUUGGUUCAUUAUAAUAGCAGCAGAGCUUCACAGACACAGUGGAAUAAAGUCUCUGGAUUAUGUGGGAAAUUGUUCUGUGUUGCUUCUAUGCACAG
Long non-coding RNA from Oreochromis niloticus (Nile tilapia), 1041 nucleotides. RefSeq lists it as uncharacterized. Lineage: Eukaryota; Metazoa; Chordata; Actinopteri; Cichliformes; Cichlidae. The transcript has 3 exons. The record is from RefSeq and is a predicted model, not a curated record.